UAUGGCCAUAUCAUGUUCAAACACUGGUUCACAUAUGAUCACCAAAGUUAAGUAACACUGAGCCUGGUCAGUACCUAGAUGGGUGACCACUUGGGAAUACUUAGUGCUGUUA
Non-coding RNA from Acanthosepion pharaonis, 112 nucleotides. Lineage: Eukaryota; Metazoa; Mollusca; Cephalopoda; Sepiida; Sepiidae. The record is from the annotation of a GenBank genome assembly.